CAGGUUGAUAUUCCUGUACCACCUAUAAUCGUUUUAAUCGAUGGGGGGACGCAGUAGGAUAGGCGAAGCGUGCGAUUGGAUUGCACGUCUAAGCAGUAAGGCUGAGUAUUAGGCAAAUCCGGUACUCGUUAAGGCUGAGCUGUGAUGGGGAGAAGACAUUGUGUCUUCGAGUCGUUGAUUUCACACUGCCGAGAAAAGCCUCUAGAUAGAAAAUAGGUGCCCGUACCGCAAACCGACACAGGUAGUCAAGAUGAGAAUUCUAAGGUGAGCGAGCGAACUCUCGUUAAGGAACUCGGCAAAAUGACCCCGUAACUUCGGGAGAAGGGGUGCUCUUUAGGGUUAACGCCCAGAAGAGCCGCAGUGAAUAGGCCCAAGCGACUGUUUAUCAAAAACACAGGUCUCUGCUAAACCGUAAGGUGAUGUAUAGGGGCUGACGCCUGCCCGGUGCUGGAAGGUUAAGAGGAGUGGUUAGCUUCUGCGAAGCUACGAAUCGAAGCCCCAGUAAACGGCGGCCGUAACUAUAACGGUCCUAAGGUAGCGAAAUUCCUUGUCGGGUAAGUUCCGACCCGCACGAAAGGCGUAACGAUUUGGGCACUGUCUCAACGAGAGACUCGGUGAAAUCAUAGUACCUGUGAAGAUGCAGGUUACCCGCGACAGGACGGAAAGACCCCGUGGAGCUUUACUGUAGCCUGAUAUUGAAAUUCGGCACAGCUUGUACAGGAUAGGUAGGAGCCUUUGAAACGUGAGCGCUAGCUUACGUGGAGGCGCUGGUGGGAUACUACCCUAGCUGUGUUGGCUUUCUAACCCGCACCACUUAUCG
RNAcentral lists this ribosomal RNA (820 nucleotides) under Staphylococcus aureus. RNAcentral describes it as "partial 23S ribosomal RNA". It matches the Rfam family "Bacterial large subunit ribosomal RNA", at positions 1426 to 2241 of the family's 2925-position model. Lineage: Bacteria; Bacillati; Bacillota; Bacilli; Caryophanales; Staphylococcaceae. The record is from RNAcentral.